AGCAGGCGCGCAAAUUACCCAAUCCCGACANGGGGAGGUAGUGACAAUAAAUAACAACACAGGGCUCUUUUGGGUCUUGUUAUUGGAAUGAGUACGAUUUAAAUCUCCUAACGAGGAACAAUUGGAGGGCAAGUCUGGUGCCAGCAGCCGCGGUAAUUCCAGCUCCAAUAGCGUAUAUUAAAGUUGUUGCAGUUAAAAAGCUCGUAGUUGAAUUUCGGGCNNNNNNNNNNGGUCCGCCCUUCGGGUGAGUACUGUCUGUGGUCGGGUCCUACCUUCUGGCGAAGCGUCAUGGCCUUAACCGGCCGUGGCGGGGAACCAGGACUUUUACUGUGAAAAAAUUAGAGUGUUCAAAGCAGGCAAUCGCUUGGAUACAUUAGCAUGGAAUAAUGGAAUAGGACAAUGGUUCUAUUUGUUGGUUUCUAGGACCGUUGUAAUGAUUAAUAGGGAUAGUUGGGGGCAUUAGUAUUCAAUUGUCAGAGGUGAAAUUCUUGGAUUUAUUGAAGACUAACUACUGCGAAAGCAUUUGCCAAGGAUGUUUUCAUUAAUCAAGAACGAAAGUUANGGNNUCGAAGACGAUCAGAUACCGUCGUAGUCUUAACCAUAAACUAUGCCGACUAGGAAUCGGGCGAUGUUGAAAAAAUGACGCGCUCGGCACCUCAUGGGAAACCAAAGUGUUUGGGUUCA
RNAcentral lists this ribosomal RNA (684 nucleotides) under uncultured Glomeromycotina. Its description in RNAcentral is "partial small subunit ribosomal RNA". It matches the Rfam family "Eukaryotic small subunit ribosomal RNA", at positions 427 to 1115 of the family's 1831-position model. The record is from RNAcentral. Lineage: Eukaryota; Fungi; Glomeromycota.